CAGAGACACAGAGAGAGAGAGAGAGAGAGAGAGAGAGAGAGAGAGAGAGAGAGAAUCUCACGCUUAAUGGGAGCAGUGGAAACUCAUCCUCGCACCUCGGGUUAGUGGCGUGUCGGCUUGGGGGGAACUGAGAGGCACUGCGGUGUUUUAAAUGCUACAAGGCGCUUUUGUCACUCGGCUUCGGUCUCUGUGUUUAACGUGUUCCAGUCUGAUCUGAUCUGAUCGCUGAUUCGGCGCUCGCUCACACUAACGCUACCUGAGGAGGCAGGAGGAGGAACAGCAGAGAGUUCAGCUGAAGAGCGCACAGACAGCAGUGGAAUAUUUCACAACUUCAUCAUGGAUGGAUUAAGCGCAACGUGUUGAGUCCAUCGUUUGCCGGUGUCUAGUUGGGAACAGAAGCGUGUGGGAAUGUCGUGGCUGCUGUGGGUGUGGAUCAGUGUGACCGUCAUGUUGGUCUGUGAUGCCACCUUCUAUGAAACCAUACACCAGCAUCUGGCACCACCUGGGACCAACAUCCAGAUCCUGGAAGGAGGGACAUGCGAGGUGAUCGCCGCACACAGAUGCUGUAACAAAAACAAGAUUGAGGAGCGAUCACAGACAGUCAAGUGUUCCUGUUUACCGGGAAAAGUAGCAGGAACCACGAGGAAUAAACCCUCCUGUGUGGACGCCUCUAUAGUGGUGGGGAAAUGGUGGUGCGAGAUGGAACCGUGUCUGGAGGGAGAAGAGUGCAAGACACUGCCAGACAACUCGGGCUGGAUGUGCUACUCUGGGAACAAGAUCAAAACCACCAGGAACACUCAUCCCUACACAUCGUUGUAGCAGUGGGAGCAAUUCAGUGCAAAACAAAGUUAAGCAUGGAGGAAGAGGUGUCAUGGUGUGAGGAGCCUUUUCAGCUGCUGCUACCGGAAAACAACAGGACAACAGUAGAAUAAACUACUUGCUGGAAGGAAGCUGAUGAACUUGAUGUUACAUUUCAGGCCUCUGUUUCAUUAUUCGACGUUCCACCCAAUAACAUGACCAUCGUCUGACUGAGGAAGUCUAUGGACCUUUUUUAAUUCAUGGUUUGACCAUUGUUUUUGCUAAUUUUGGUUUUACGCUCUUAAAACCAUGGUAAUCUGAGACUUUGCCCUGUUUGUUGCAGUUUGCCCAAAAUGUCAUCUUCAUUCACGAUGUUCAUUGUUUCCAGAAUUGACUGAGCUAACAAACUCAAAUCCAGUGGUUGAUAUAUGGCAUGCCUUUACGGAAAAAAGAAGACUUUGAAUAAGUGCGAGUGGGUAAAGCCUCAACAGGAACCAUUGAGGAGCUCAAUGCAUUACGACUGCCAUUAAAAUGGACUAUAAAGGAUAUGUGUACGACAAAUCUUAUCCUGCAAAUGUUCACAGACUCAUCUAACCACAGAUAUCUGAUAUUAUGUGGCUAGGCAAAAUGUAGAUGAAAUGUAAAGAUAAAAUGGCAGAUAAACAUAUAAUUGAGUUGGGGUAAAUGAAACUAUAGUUGUAAAACCACAGCCAACUGUGAAUUAAAAUUCACAAGCACAAUAAUGUAAAGUGUUUUGAAAAGAUGAAAUCAUUACCCUCCAUGUGCUCGUGACGCUGUAGUCCAGCUCUUGCUGAUUUUCCCUGUUUCUGGUUCAUUGAGCUAAUGAUAAAUUGAGCAUCAUUGAGAGGACUCCAGUGUGAAAGCUCUGAGACUUAUUAUCAAAGCUGACGAGGUCUAAUCGAAAUCUGCUGCUGCAUGCAGAUAUAAAAUAGCAUGGCAUUUAAAUACUCAGAGUCAGAUUUCUAUUCAGAAGUCUCGAGCUUUGCCUUCAUUAAACAGGUGGUAAAAUGUGAAAUGUUAAGAUGUCUUGUGCUCCGUAUUGGAGUCCCAAAGGUCCUGAAUGCUACUUCAGAGAAAAUCUGUUUGAUGAGAGGUAAUAGUCUUGGAGAGCCCCAAUGAGCAAAAAAAAAAAUAUUCUCAAAUUUUUUGUGCAAAUUUACUUUUUUGUUUUUUCUAUUUCUUUUUCUAGCCAAACCCAUGACACCAGUAAUAAAUUGUGAGGUUAAAUUUAAAAAGUGUAUAAAGUACAUUACAAUCAAUGAAAAACUGACCACAUUAUCUUUAGUUAAAUCCUUCUUUUUCCUACUGUGUUCUUUUUGUCCUGAUUGUUGAUAGAAAAUAAACUGGCAUAUCUCGAUAAAACCUAUAUGUUGAAGCAUGUAGAUGGGACUAAAGUAUCUCAUGAAAUACACCUGGGAUAUUCUCCUGAUGUCAAACAAAUACCAGUCAGAAAAUAGAUGGCUACAUUUACACCAUUUCACUGAUGUGCCAAGUCUCAAAUCAAGCACAAAAAUCUGCCAUGAUGCACACAUCCAGCAAUUAAAACCGUCCGUGUGGAAACACGGCAAGUUCA
Silurus meridionalis is the source of this 2392-nucleotide RNA transcript. It is a transcript of the gene named TAFA chemokine like family member 1a, with no coding region annotated. Lineage: Eukaryota; Metazoa; Chordata; Actinopteri; Siluriformes; Siluridae. The record is from RefSeq and is a predicted model, not a curated record. The transcript has 7 exons.